AGUUUUCGAGCCACACAGAGCUCUUCUUCAGGUCUGGGUAAGGUAUUUACAGUAAAAUGCAUGGUGGAACAGAUUGUAAUGGACCAUUCAAGGGAGGAUGGCCUGUUAACACCUCUGCAAUCAUAGGCUGAAAAGGGGAGUGCGUGUUAAUGGGUUAUAGAUGGAUUUAUGACUUAUUACAACAAUUUUCUUUCCCAGACAUGAAGAAGACUCCAUGUAGCUUUGAAAGCUUUUGUCUCCUAUCAACAGAGGUUGGUCCAAUAAAACAUUACCUCACCCACUUUGUCUCUCUUAUAACCUGGGACCCAAUAGGGCUACAAUUACACUGCGUACAACAAUGGAAGAAAUAUAUGUAGUAGUCCUCCUGUAUCAAAGUUCUUCAGCUUCUGUUGGGGUUUUGUUUUAUAGUGUGGUGUGAUCAGUCCCAGAUUUGAUGUUCAGUUGAAGGACCUGGAAAAGUGGCAGAACAACCUUUUGCCUUCACGUCAGUUUGGGUACAUAGUGCUGACAACUUCCGCUGGCAUCAUGGACCAUGAGGAAGCAAGGCGAAAACACACAGGAGGCAAAAUCCUGGGAUUCUUUUUCUAAAACUUGUAAAACAGGCAUACUAAUAAAUUGUUCAAAUGGA
Molecule: non-coding RNA, 628 nt
Organism: Chrysemys picta bellii (western painted turtle)
Lineage: Eukaryota; Metazoa; Chordata; Testudines; Emydidae
Source: RefSeq, a predicted model, not a curated record